AUUGAACGCUGGCGGCAGGCUUAACACAUGCAAGUCGAGCGGAGUGAUGGUGCUUGCACUAUCACUUAGCGGCGGACGGGUGCGUAAUGCUUAGGAAUCUGCCUAUUAGUGGGGGACAACAUCUCGAAAGGGAUGCUAAUACCGCAUACGUCCUACGGGAGAAAGCAGGGGAUCACUUGGUACCUUGCGCUAAUAGAUGAGCCUAAGUCGGACUAGCUAGUUGGUGGGGUAAAGGCCUACCAAGGCGACGAUCUGUAGCGGGUCUGAGAGGAUGAUCCGCCACACUGGGACUGAGACACGGCCCAGACUCCUACGGGAGGCAGCAGUGGGGAAUAUUGGACAAUGGGGGGAACCCUGAUCCAGCCAUGCCGCGUGUGUGAAGAAGGCCUUAUGGUUGUAAAGCACUUUAAGCGAGGAGGAGGCUCUUUUGGUUAAUACCCAAGAUGAGUGGACGUUACUCGCAGAAUAAGCACCGGCUAACUCUGUGCCAGCAGCCGCUGUAA
RNAcentral lists this ribosomal RNA (503 nucleotides) under uncultured bacterium. Its description in RNAcentral is "partial 16S ribosomal RNA". It matches the Rfam family "Bacterial small subunit ribosomal RNA", at positions 30 to 523 of the family's 1533-position model. The record is from RNAcentral.